RNAcentral lists this transfer RNA (77 nucleotides) under Rickettsiales bacterium. RNAcentral describes it as "tRNA-Val". It matches the Rfam family "tRNA". Rfam says of the family: Transfer RNA (tRNA) molecules are approximately 80 nucleotides in length. Their secondary structure includes four short double-helical elements and three loops (D, anti-codon, and T loops). The record is from RNAcentral. Lineage: Bacteria; Pseudomonadati; Pseudomonadota; Alphaproteobacteria; Rickettsiales.
GGGUGAUUAGCUCAGCUGGUUAGAGCAUCUCGUUUACACCGAGAGGGUCUGCGGUUCGAAUCCGUAAUCACCCACCA